UACGUAGGUGACAAGCGUUGUCCGGAUUUACUGGGCGUAAAGAGCGCGCAGGCGGUCGAUCAAGUCGAGUGUGAAAGCCCCCGGCUCAACUGGGGAGGGUCAUUCGAUACUGAUCGACUCGAAGGCAGGAGAGGGUAGUGGAAUUCCCGGUGUAGUGGUGAAAUGCGUAGAGAUCGGGAAGAACAUCAGUGGCGAAGGCAGCCUGCUGGGCUGUUGCUGACGCUGAGGCGCGACAGCGUGGGGAGCAAACAGG
This 253-nucleotide ribosomal RNA is filed under the name uncultured bacterium. RNAcentral describes it as "partial 16S ribosomal RNA". It matches the Rfam family "Bacterial small subunit ribosomal RNA", at positions 524 to 776 of the family's 1533-position model. The record is from RNAcentral.